Molecule: long non-coding RNA, 3993 nt
Filed under: Hordeum vulgare
Lineage: Eukaryota; Viridiplantae; Streptophyta; Magnoliopsida; Poales; Poaceae
Description: long non-coding RNA (HVUL_LNC017411)
Source: RNAcentral
UUAUAAUACAAGUCAUGUACCCUUUUAUCCCAAUAUAUAAGGGGUUUUCCUGCAUAUAGUCCAUCACCUGUACAUGUAUAUAUAUAUCGGCCUAUGGCCUCAUGGGAAUACAAGUUGCUUUCCUAACAUGGUAUUAGAGCCCUAGGUUCUUUUUUUCGCACGCGCAACUCGUGUUUCUGUCUCCUCCUCGUCUGCUCCCGCCGUCCCCGUCGAAACCUCUCGAUCUCGCCAGGAGCGGCUCUGCCAGGAGAGGCUCCCUCCUCCAGAUCGCGCCAGGAGCAGGCCGGUCUCCCCCGGCUCCUCCCGUUCCCGCUCCAUCCAGGAGCGGCUCCUCCCGCUCCCGCUCCAGCUAGGAGCGGCUCCCGUCAGGACUCCAGCAGGCUGCAUCGCUGCCAGGAGCGGCUCCUCCCGCUCCAGCCAGGAGCGGCUCCCGUUAGGACUCCAGCAGGCCGCAUCGCUGCCAGGAGCGGCUCCUCCCGCUCCAGCCAGGAGCGGCUCCCGUCAGAACUCCAGCAGGCCGCAUCGCAUCAGGACGCCUCGCCUCGCUGUUUCCGACCUGGAAUCCACCCGCCGCUGCUGCUUUAAAAUCACUGCCGCUGCUGUUCCUGCUUCACAAUCUCCACUCCCCUUGCGAUUUCUCCUGAGGAUCGCCCUUGCUGCUGAACUCGCCUGAUCCAGCGCUGCUCUCGUCCUCCCGUUGCAGCGCCCGCCAGCCGCCGCCCUGAUCUCGUUUUGAUCUCGAUUGGAUCCGGCUCUCUGGUUCUAAAAAAAAAAAGAAAAAAAAAUGUCUGCUUCAUCCGGCUAUGUUGCUGUUCCUCGUUGUCCGGUGAUCUUUGAUGGCACUAACUACACCGAGUUCAUUGGCUUCAUGCGCAUUCACAUGCGUGGCAUCCGCCUAUGGGGUUUUCUUUCCGGCGAGGUCUGCUGUCCGCCAUGUCCGGUUCCUCCCGUGGCUCCCACUCCGCCGAUCCCACCGGCUCUUCCUGCGGAUGCUUCUCAGGCCGCAAAGGAUGCGACUCAGCUUGCUGAUGAGGCCGCUGUGAGUGCUUAUGAUAAGAAGGUCUUGGCUUAUGAGGAGGCUCUUCAGGUGUAUCGUGAUGCUCUGUCCGUUUACACCCAGUGGCUUGAUGAUGAUGCUCGUGCUGCCGCUGUUCUCACUGCUAGUGUUCUGCCUCAGUUUGCUUCUGAGUUUCUGGGUCUUCCUACUGUAUUUGAGAUGUGGACCCGCCUUCGUCAGCGCUAUGAGCCCUCUGGUGAUGCCUUAUACCUCUCUGUGGUCCGUCAGGAGCAUGCUCUUCAUCAGGGUGACUCUAUUGUUGAUGACUUCUAUGCACAGAGUUCUGCUAUCUGGCGCCAGCUUGAUUCUCUCCGCAGUGCUGGUUGUCGUACUUGCCCCUGUUGCCAGGCUGUUCAGGCCGACUUGGAGUUUCAUCGCGUCUACGAGUUCCUGUCUCGGCUCCGUAAGGAGUUUGAGCCCCGGCGUGCUCAGUUGUUUGCUCGUGGCCGUAUUUCUCUCAUGGAGGCGCUUUCUGAGAUUCGUGCUGAGGAGACUCGCUUACGUGGUGCUGGUUUGCUGGAGGUUCCCUCGGUGCUCGCUGCUCGGACUUUUUCUACGCCACCUGCUGCAUCGACCCCUUCUCGCUCGAGUGCUCCGCCGCUCCUGCCCACUCCUUCUGGCGGCUCAGGUCGCCCCCGUCCACAUUGUAACUACUGCAACAAUGAUGGUCACAUUGAGCCCCACGGCUACACGAAGAAGAAACACUUGCGCAAGGCGCGGUCAUCAUCUACAGCGACUUCGUCACCUACCUCGACAGCUUCAGCCAUCGCUUUCACUGAGCAGGAUAUCCUGAGACUUAAGCGUCUGCUCGCUGCUUCAGGUUCUUCCUCAACGGGUACUGCUGGUUCUGUGACUGAGGCUUCCCGCACUGAGCAACCACCUUCUACACAGUCAGGUACAUCCCCAUGGGUUCUGGACUCUGGAGCUUCCUUUCAUAUGACUUCUAAUUCUUCCACUCUGUCCUCUCUUCGUUCGCUUGAUUCUCCUGUUCAUGUCCUCACUGCUGAUGGUACUCCCCUUCCUGUCGUUAGUAGAGGCACUCUUACCACUCCUUAUUCUGUUCCCGAUGUUGCUCAUGUUCCUCGACUUACCAUGAAUUUGUUUUCCGCUGGUCAACUUGCUGAUUCUGGUUGUCGUGUCAUCCUUGAUCUUGACUCUUGUUCUGUCCAGGACCGUCGCACGCACACUCUGGUUGGGGCUGGUCCUCGCCGCCGUGAUUCUGAGGGUCUUUGGGAGUUGGACUGGCUUCAUGUUCCUUCCGCUGGUCAUUCUAUCGCCAGUUCUUCCGCUUUGGUCGCCUCGGCUACUGGUUCUUUCCAGCAGUGGCAUCAUCGACUUGGUCAUCUGUGUGGUUCUCGUUUGUCGUCGUUAGUUCGUCGAGGUCUUCUGGGGUCUGUCUCAGGAGAUGCCUCCUUAGAGUGUCAGGGUUGUCGUCUUGGCAAGCAGAUUCAGUUACCAUAUCCACAUAGUGAGUCAGUGUCUAAGCGUCCUUUUGAUUUAGUCCAUUCCGAUGUAUGGGGUCCGGCUCCCUUCGCUUCGAAAGGGGGUCAUAAAUACUAUAUUAUUUUCAUCGAUGACUUCUCUCGUUACACAUGGCUUUAUUUCAUGACUUCUCGUAGUGAGGUGUUGUCCAUUUAUAAGCGUUUUGCUGCCAUGGUUCAUACUCAGUUCUCUUCUCCCAUUCGUGUGUUUCGUGCUGACUCCGCUGGCGAGUAUAUCUCUAAGAUGUUGCGUGGUGUUCUUGCUGAGCAAGGGACUCUCUCUCAAUUCUCUUGUCCUGGUGCUCAUGCUCAGAAUGGCGUGGCUGAGCGCAAGCAUCGUCAUCUUCUUGAGACGGCUCGUGCAUUGAUGAUUGCUGCCUCUCUCCCGCCUCAUUUUUGGGUUGAGGCUGUCUCCACCUCCACCUAUCUCAUCAAUUUCCAGCCUUCCGCUGCUCUACAGGGUGGUGUUCCCUUCGAGCGUCUUUUUGAUCGGUCUCCCGAUUAUUCGACGCUUCGCUUGUUUGGUUGUGUUUGCUAUGUUCUUCUUGCCCCCCGCGAACGCACCAAACUGACCGCUCAGUCUGUUGAGUGUGUCUUCUUAGGCUAUAGUGAUGAGCAUAAGGGCUAUCGUUGUUGGGAUCCUAUCGGUCGUCGGAUACGUAUCUCUCGGGAUGUGACUUUUGAUGAGUCUCGUCCCUUCUACCCACGCCCAUCUUCCUCGACUUUUUCAGUGGAGGAUAUCUCUUUUCUCACUUUUCCUGACACGCCUAUCACACUCGUCGAGCCUUUGCCUAUUCAUUCCGCUCCCUCUGCUUCUCCACCUCCAGUCGAUUUGUCGCCACCAUCUUCCACAGUCUCCUCGUCUAGCAUGUCACCGGAUUCUACACCUUCAUCUCCGGUGACUUCUUCGUCGCCACUCUCCGAUUCUACUUUAGCGAUUCCUCCUUCCAUUGUUCCAUCUUUUACUCAGUGUUACACUCGUCGUUCACAUUCUGUGGAUGCCUCUCUGGAUGUGCCGUCAUCCUCGUCUCAGCCUACUUAUGGCUUGCGUUCUCGUCCUCGUCCGCCUGUUGAUCGCUUAGGAUUUUCCACCGCUGGAGCUGCUGUUCUUGAGCCGACUACUUAUCAUCAGGCUGUUGUUCAACCUGAAUGGCAGUUUGCGAUGGCUGAGGAGAUUGCUGCUCUUGAACGCACAGGUACGUGGGAUCUUGUUUCCCCUCCUCCUGGAGUCCGUCCCAUCACUUGUAAGUGGGUCUACAAGGUAAAGACUCGCUCCGAUGGUUCUCUUGAGCGUCACAAAGCUCGUCUUGUGGCUCGUGGUUUUCAGCAGNAGUUGCUUUCCUAACAGAAGGCACGGUUAAAUUUACGUGCAUUUCCACAAUAGACAAGAUUUAAGCCGCGUUGCAUUUAGUCCUAACAUCUAAUUAGUACUCGGUUGUACUACUUCUAUAUGCA